Molecule: non-coding RNA, 676 nt
Organism: Styela clava
Lineage: Eukaryota; Metazoa; Chordata; Ascidiacea; Stolidobranchia; Styelidae
Source: RefSeq, a predicted model, not a curated record
AAAGACUUGAAUGAAGAAAGUAGGAACUAAGAAGUGUAAAAGUUUCGGGUUUGGUUAUUUUAUUUUUAAAAUUAGUUUCGGUAGCCUUUUUUCAUAGCUCUCCUGUGACUUUCAAGGCAGAAAGAACUGUACCGGUGACCGGAUGGAGCCGAAAAGAGUUUUUGCAAUCAUGGACGAAAAUAAGAAUGUUGAAGGAACCACUGGAUCUGCGUGAAAUGACUACAAAUGUUCUCAAGCGAAAUACAAACAAAUGGUCACAACAACGAAGAACCCUGUAACAGUAGCAAACCAACAUAUAAUUAUAUUCAAUGUAAAGAAAGCCCUCAAUUCAUCCGAAAUCUAUGGAAACUAAUAUUGUUUUUAUGUGCAAUAAUAUUGUUUUUAUGUGCAACAUUUGGACUGCCUUCAAAUUUUGAUAUCUGUAUAGACCUAUGCAUGUUCUAGAGCUUGUUUGUUUUGUUGUGUUUAGUUUGCGAUGUCGAUGCAACGCAACACGACGUUGUCUUCGAAGUGAGCGAUGUCAAGUUCAGCGUGUGCGUCAUAUGCUAUUAUUUUGAUAAAAAAAAUUAUUUUAAUUUUUUCUCGAGUCGCCUGCGACAUCCCGCAAUCGGUCAAAUUUUUUAUAUACAUAACAUAACGCCCUCUAUCGAAUGGCGGUCUUUUUGACGAAGUUAGC